Molecule: long non-coding RNA, 418 nt
Organism: Manduca sexta (tobacco hornworm)
Lineage: Eukaryota; Metazoa; Arthropoda; Insecta; Lepidoptera; Sphingidae
Exons: 3
Source: RefSeq, a predicted model, not a curated record
CUGAACAUUACCGCGUAUAUAUAGGCAAGUUUCGUAAAGAUGGACUGACGUCUACACUGACAUCUUCAGGUUUGGAGUGCUUAUUAACGAAUACCUUAAGGAGUACGACUACUGCAACGGGCUAGUGUUAAUCGCAGACAUUAGGGAUAUCAACGUGUUGCGCCUCAGCUACAGCCUCAGCCUGACAGAGUUGCGCAACAUCUUGACCAUUGCCACGGAAGGCUACGACAUGAGGAUAAAAGGGAUACACUACGUGACGUCAUCACGGGCGGUGGAAGUGCUGCUCCGACUGAUGAGAUCAGUGCUGAGUGCUAAACUGAGUGAGAGGAUGCGAGUUCACAAGACUGUGGAGUCAUUAUACGAGGUGGUGUCGAAGGAGAUACUGCCGGCGGAGUAUGGAGGUGACGAAGAAUCCUUG